RNAcentral lists this ribosomal RNA (486 nucleotides) under uncultured bacterium. Its description in RNAcentral is "partial 16S ribosomal RNA". It matches the Rfam family "Bacterial small subunit ribosomal RNA", at positions 30 to 507 of the family's 1533-position model. The record is from RNAcentral.
AUUGAACGCUGGCGGCAUGCCUUACACAUGCAAGUCGAACGGCAGCGCGGACUUCGGUUUGGCUGCGAGUGGCGAACGGGUGAGUAAUACAUCGGAACGUACCCUGUUGUGGGUGAUAAUUAGUUGAAAGAUUAGCUAAUACUGCAUACGACCAGAGGGUGAAAGUGGGGGACCGGUAACGCCUUCCUGCAGCAGGAGCUGCAGAUGUCUGAUUAGCUAGUUGGGGGGGUAAAGGCCCACCAAGGCGACGAUCAGUAGCUGGUCUGAGAGGACGAUCAGCCACACUGGGACUGAGACACGGCCCAGACUCCUACGGGAGGCAGCAGUGGGGAAUUUUGGACAAUGGGGGCAAACCUGAUCCAGCAAUGCCGCGUGUGUGAAGAAGGCCUUCGGGUUGUAAAGCACUUUUGUCCGGAAAGAAAUCGCGCUGGUUAAUACCUGGCGUGGAUGACGGUACCGGAAGAAUAAGCACCGGCUAACUACGUG